RNAcentral lists this ribosomal RNA (483 nucleotides) under uncultured bacterium. Its description in RNAcentral is "partial 16S ribosomal RNA". It matches the Rfam family "Bacterial small subunit ribosomal RNA", at positions 28 to 507 of the family's 1533-position model. The record is from RNAcentral.
GACGAACGCUGGCGGCGUGCUUAACACAUGCAAGUCGAACGCUGAAGCUCAGCUUUUGUUGGGUGGAUGAGUGGCGAACGGGUGAGUAACACGUGAGUAACCUGCCUCCUUCUUUGGGAUAACGCCCGGAAACGGGUGCUAAUACUGGAUAUUCACUGGUCUUCGCAUGGGGGUUGGUGGAAAGGGUUUUUCUGGUGGGGGAUGGGCUCGCGGCCUAUCAGCUUGUUGGUGGGGUGAUGGCCUACCAAGGCUUUGACGGGUAGCCGGCCUGAGAGGGUGACCGGUCACAUUGGGACUGAGAUACGGCCCAGACUCCUACGGGAGGCAGCAGUGGGGAAUAUUGCACAAUGGGCGCAAGCCUGAUGCAGCGUCGCCGCGUGAGGGAUGGGGGCCGUCGGGUUGUGAACCUCUUUCGCUCAUGGUCAAGCCGCAACAAUGGUUGUGGUGAGGGUAGUGGGUAAAGAGGCGCCGGCUAACUACGUG